RNAcentral lists this ribosomal RNA (350 nucleotides) under uncultured bacterium. RNAcentral describes it as "bacterial SSU rRNA". It matches the Rfam family "Bacterial small subunit ribosomal RNA", at positions 410 to 750 of the family's 1533-position model. The record is from RNAcentral.
GACGGCCCUUUNNGGUCUGUAAGCUCUGUUCGUUAGGGAAGAACCGUACGUGAAGUAACUGCCAGAACCUUGACCGGACCUAUCCAUAACGCCACGGCUAACUACAUGCCAGCAGCCGCCGUAAUACGUAAGUGGCGAGCGUUGUCCGGAAUUAUUGGGCUUGUCGCGCGCGCAGGCGGUCUUUUGAGUCUGAUGUCAAAUCCCCGGGCUCAACCGUGGAACUACAGUGAAAACUGGGAGACUUGAAUGCCUGGUAGGAAAGUGAAAUUCCACGUGUUCCGGAGAAAUGCCUAUAGAUGUGGAGGAACUCUGGGGUUAACUGACCUUUCUGGUCUGUAACUGACGGAGAG